CGUACUACUGCCAGAGACUGUCAGUCCUGACAACAGCAUGCGGCACUGCUGUCUAGGGGCAUUAUCCCGCCUAUGGCAUUGUCAACCCUAGUGAUUUGAUAGUCCCACGGCGAUUUGAUACCUUAUGGCGACUCUGACAGUCUACAGUGACUUGACAAUUCUUCAAUUGUCCGCGCCAUUAAUGACGGCGCCAUACCACGCUCCACUAUAUAUAUCGAGGAAGGCAACAGUGCUAG
RNAcentral lists this long non-coding RNA (236 nucleotides) under Elaeis guineensis (African oil palm). RNAcentral describes it as "long non-coding RNA (EGUI_LNC039934)". The record is from RNAcentral. Lineage: Eukaryota; Viridiplantae; Streptophyta; Magnoliopsida; Arecales; Arecaceae.